GCUGGGCAUGGUGGUGCAUGCCUGUAAUCCUAGCGGCUCUGGAGGCUGAGACAGGAGGAUCACGAGUUCAAAGCCAGCCUCAGCAAUGGUAAGGUGCUAAGCAACUCAGUGAGACCUGUCUCUA
Molecule: small RNA, 124 nt
Filed under: Marmota monax (woodchuck)
Lineage: Eukaryota; Metazoa; Chordata; Mammalia; Rodentia; Sciuridae
Source: RNAcentral